GGGUGGUAUAUGUUCAUGGCAGGGUGGAUUAGCACAAUGUAGUCCAUUUUAUGGAAAUGGCAUGAUUUUGUAUGCUUUUUCUCACCCAUGGAAUUCAUUUACGCAUUGGAACUGCAAAAACUUGCUUGUCGUUUUGUUGAAAUGAAUCAGAUUGCAAUUCCCUUAUUUUGAUGAAGUAGCGCCUUCCUCCCUCAUCUUAGGGUUCAUAUACCAUUGGGAAUGAUGUAGUUGCUUAACAUUUCAUCAGGCAUAUGCAAUUUUCUGUACAUAAUAAAGCCA
RNAcentral lists this unclassified non-coding RNA (279 nucleotides) under Hevea brasiliensis (rubber tree). The record is from RNAcentral. Lineage: Eukaryota; Viridiplantae; Streptophyta; Magnoliopsida; Malpighiales; Euphorbiaceae.